CCCGCCUCUAGGCGCCGUGAUGGGGGUGGCUGGAAGAGCGGAGAGCCAGCGACAGCCGAUCUGUUAGCUCGUGCGACCCAGCAGCGGGGGUCCUCCACUGUUCAUUUCUCUACAACUGAAGGAAAAUACUGUGUGUUGAGCACCCGUGUAGUGCGCGAAUUAAAGGCCUCAUCCUUCUGGAACUUAAAUUUUAAUGAAGCCAUGUGGGCAAUAAAUGUGUGUGAGAGAGAGAGAGAGAGAAUGUGACCUGAGUCCAUGGCUAUGACUCCUCCCUCAUCUUUCUGAAGCUCAACCUUGAAUGCUUACAGGACCACUGAAAAAAGAAUCUCUAGGCUCCCCCAAGAGCUCAUUUCCAUCAACAGCUCUGGAAGUGGGUCAUGUUACGUAUAAAAAUAAAGACAGCAAGAAGAGCUCAGACGGUAGAACCAGACUGCUUGGGACUGAAAUCGGCAUUCGCCACUUACCAGGGCUCAAUGCUUACUAUUCUGGAGUUCAUUACUAAGCUGUCCCACAGGGCAAGAUUAUAUAUGAAGAGACAUAACAGCUUGGGGGUGAAGUCAAAAGAAUGCAGCCAUGUACUGAUCACAGACUGGUUGGAUUAAUGUCACAUCAUCUCUAAAAGUAGAUUUUUAUCAAUCUAAGGCUGAGCAACCCUCUACUUAUCUUGUUUCCUUAUAGUAUCUGAGCAACUAAGAAGUUUUGUAAAUACUGUCUGACAUAUGUAUAUUAUACAAUAAGAUAUUAUUAACUUUAAAAAGGAGUUAACAGGUUACUUUAAAAUGUCUAAUCAGAAUAUACAUUAAAGCCAUCAUAUGAAACAUAA
This is a long non-coding RNA of Pan troglodytes (chimpanzee), 823 nucleotides long. RefSeq lists it as uncharacterized. The record is from RefSeq and is a predicted model, not a curated record. Lineage: Eukaryota; Metazoa; Chordata; Mammalia; Primates; Hominidae. The transcript has 5 exons.